This 83-nucleotide transfer RNA is filed under the name Canis lupus familiaris (dog). It matches the Rfam family "tRNA". From Rfam's summary of the family: Transfer RNA (tRNA) molecules are approximately 80 nucleotides in length. The record is from Rfam by way of RNAcentral. RNAcentral also lists the same sequence under 2 other names. Lineage: Eukaryota; Metazoa; Chordata; Mammalia; Carnivora; Canidae.
GCCUGGGUAGCUCAGUGAUUGAGCAUCUGCCUUCAGCUCAGGUCAUGACCCCAAGGUCCUGGGUUCGAGUCCUACUUCAGGCU